GAUGAACGCUGGCGGCGUGCCUAAUACAUGCAAGUCGAGCGAACGGACGAGAAGCUUGCUUCUCUGAUGUUAGCGGCGGACGGGUGAGUAACACGUGGAUAACCUACCUAUAAGACUGGGAUAACUUCGGGAAACCGGAGCUAAUACCGGAUAAUAUUUUGAACCGCAUGGUUCAAAAGUGAAAGACGGUCUUGCUGUCACUUAUAGAUGGAUCCGCGCUGCAUUAGCUAGUUGGUAAGGUAACGGCUUACCAAGGCAACGAUGCAUAGCCGACCUGAGAGGGUGAUCGGCCACACUGGAACUGAGACACGGUCCAGACUCCUACGGGAGGCAGCAGUAGGGAAUCUUCCGCAAUGGGCGAAAGCCUGACGGAGCAACGCCGCGUGAGUGAUGAAGGUCUUCGGAUCGUAAAACUCUGUUAUUAGGGAAGAACAUAUGUGUAAGUAACUGUGCACAUCUUGACGGUACCUAAUCAGAAAGCCACGGCUAACUACGUGCCAGCAGCCGCGGUAAUACGUAGGUGGCAAGCGUUAUCCGGAAUUAUUGGGCGUAAAGCGCGCGUAGGCGGUUUUUUAAGUCUGAUGUGAAAGCCCACGGCUCAACCGUGGAGGGUCAUUGGAAACUGGAAAACUUGAGUGCAGAAGAGGAAAGUGGAAUUCCAUGUGUAGCGGUGAAAUGCGCAGAGAUAUGGAGGAACACCAGUGGCGAAGGCGACUUUCUGGUUUGUAAUUGACGCUGAUGUGCGAAAGCGUGGGGAUCAAACAGGAUUAGAUACCCUGGUAGUCCACGCCGUAAACGAUGAGUGCUAAGUGUUAGGGGGUUUCCGCCCCUUAGUGCUGCAGCUAACGCAUUAAGCACUCCGCCUGGGGAGUACGACCGCAAGGUUGAAACUCAAAGGAAUUGACGGGGACCCGCACAAGCGGUGGAGCAUGUGGUUUAAUUCGAAGCAACGCGAAGAACCUUACCAAAUCUUGACAUCCUUUGACAACUCUAGAGAUAGAGCUUUCCCCUUCGGGGGACAAAGUGACAGGUGGUGCAUGGUUGUCGUCAGCUCGUGUCGUGAGAUGUUGGGUUAAGUCCCGCAACGAGCGCAACCCUUAAGCUUAGUUGCCAUCAUUAAGUUGGGCACUCUAAGUUGACUGCCGGUGACAAACCGGAGGAAGGUGGGGAUGACGUCAAAUCAUCAUGCCCCUUAUGAUUUGGGCUACACACGUGCUACAAUGGACAAUACAAAGGGCAGCGAAACCGCGAGGUCAAGCAAAUCCCAUAAAGUUGUUCUCAGUUCGGAUUGUAGUCUGCAACUCGACUACAUGAAGCUGGAAUCGCUAGUAAUCGUAGAUCAGCAUGCUACGGUGAAUACGUUCCCGGGUCU
RNAcentral lists this ribosomal RNA (1372 nucleotides) under uncultured bacterium. Its description in RNAcentral is "bacterial SSU rRNA". It matches the Rfam family "Bacterial small subunit ribosomal RNA", at positions 28 to 1381 of the family's 1533-position model. The record is from RNAcentral.